UUGCACGCUGGCGGCAUGCCUUACACAUGCAAGUCGAACGGCAGCAUGAUCUAGCUUGCUAGAUUGAUGGCGAGUGGCGAACGGGUGAGUAAUACAUCGGAACGUGCCCUGUAGUGGGGGAUAACUAGUCGAAAGAUUAGCUAAUACCGCAUACGACCUGAGGGUGAAAGUGGGGGACCGCAAGGCCUCAUGCUAUAGGAGCGGCCGAUGUCUGAUUAGCUAGUUGGUGAGGUAAAGGCUCACCAAGGCGACGAUCAGUAGCUGGUCUGAGAGGACGAUCAGCCACACUGGGACUGAGACACGGCCCAGACUCCUACGGGAGGCAGCAGUGGGGAAUUUUGGACAAUGGGCGAAAGCCUGAUCCAGCAAUGCCGCGUGUGUGAAGAAGGCCUUCGGGUUGCAAAGCACUUUUGUCCGGAAAGAAAUGGCUCUGGUUAAUACCUGGGGUCGAUGACGGUACCGGAAGAAUAAGGACCGGCUAACUACGUG
This 489-nucleotide ribosomal RNA is filed under the name uncultured bacterium. RNAcentral describes it as "partial 16S ribosomal RNA". It matches the Rfam family "Bacterial small subunit ribosomal RNA", at positions 30 to 507 of the family's 1533-position model. The record is from RNAcentral.